UGCUCCCUCUCUCACAUCCCUUGCAUGGUGGAGGGUGAGCUUUAUGAAAACCCCUCCCACAUGCAGGGUUUGCAGGAUGGUGAGCC
Molecule: microRNA precursor, 86 nt
Organism: Cercocebus atys (sooty mangabey)
Lineage: Eukaryota; Metazoa; Chordata; Mammalia; Primates; Cercopithecidae
Source: Ensembl